AUUCCAGCUCCAAUAGCGUAUAUUAAAGUUGUUGCAGUUAAAAAGCUCGUAGUUGGAUUUCUGGUCUCUGUGUGAUGGUCCGCCGUGAGGUGAGCACUGUUGCUGGGGACCUUCUUCUUGAAGGGGUGUGGUGUUCUUAACUGAGUGCUGCAUUUAUUCAAGACCUUUACUUUGAAAAAAUUAGAGUGUUCAAAGCAGGCGUUUUGCUUGAAUACAUUAGCAUGGAAUAAUGGAAUAGGACUAGGGUUCUAUUUUGUUGGUUUCUAGGACUUUGGUAAUGAUUAAUAGGGAUAGUUGGGGGCAUUAGUAUUUAAUUGUCAGAGGUGAAACUCUUGGAUUUAUGAAAGACUAACUUCUGCGAAAGCAUUUGCCAAGGAUGUUUUCAUUA
RNAcentral lists this ribosomal RNA (388 nucleotides) under Choanoflagellata sp. Its description in RNAcentral is "partial small subunit ribosomal RNA". It matches the Rfam family "Eukaryotic small subunit ribosomal RNA", at positions 582 to 975 of the family's 1831-position model. The record is from RNAcentral. Lineage: Eukaryota; Choanoflagellata.